RNAcentral lists this small RNA (96 nucleotides) under Sinorhizobium meliloti 2011. Its description in RNAcentral is "putative ncRNA". The record is from RNAcentral. Lineage: Bacteria; Pseudomonadati; Pseudomonadota; Alphaproteobacteria; Hyphomicrobiales; Rhizobiaceae.
GUUGACGUUCGGCGCGUGGUGCCCGAGAUCGACGAGGCAGAAGGCCUUGGGCCCGAGUUCCUGUGCGAUCAGGUAGUUCGUGCCCCAAUCCUGCAC